This 339-nucleotide unclassified non-coding RNA is filed under the name soil metagenome. RNAcentral describes it as "partial contains 5.8S ribosomal RNA, internal transcribed spacer 2, and large subunit ribosomal RNA". The stretch from base 1 to 120 matches the Rfam family "5.8S ribosomal RNA", at positions 35 to 154 of the family's 154-position model. The record is from RNAcentral.
GAUGAAGAACGCAGUGAAAUGCGAUAAGUAAUGUGAAUUGCAGAAUUCAGUGAAUCAUCGAAUCUUUGAACGCACAUUGAGCCCGCCAGUAUUCUGGCGGGCAUGCCUGUCCGAGCGUCAUUUCAACCAUCAAGCCCCCGGGCUUGUGUUGGGGACCUGCGGCUGCCCGCAGGCCCUGAAAACCAGUGGCGGGCUCGCUGUCACACCGAGCGUAGUAGCAAUCACCUCGCUCAGGGCGUGCUGCGGGUUCCGGCCGUUAAACAGCCUUACAAAACCCAAGGUUGACCUCGGAUCAGGUAGGAAGACCCGCUGAACUUAAGCAUAUCAAUAAGCGGAGGA